GUAGGUGGCAAGCGUUGUCCGGAAUUAUUGGGGCGUGAAGCGCGCGCAGGCGGUUCUUUAAGUCUGAUGUGAAAGCCCACGGGCUCAACCGUGGGAGGGUCAUUGGAGACUGGAGAACUUGAGUACAGAAGAGGAAAGCGGAAUUCCACGUGUAGCGGUGAAAUGCGUAGAGAUGUGGAGGAACACCAGUGGCGAAGGCGGCUUUCUGGUCUGUAACUGACGCUGAGGCGCGAAAGCGUGGGGAGCAAACAGGAUUAGAUACCCUGGUAGUCCACGCCGUAAACGAUGAGUGCUAAGUGUUAGGGGGUUUCCGCCCCUUAGUGCUGCAGCUAACGCAUUAAGCACUCCGCCUGAGGAGUACGGCCGCAAAGGCUG
Molecule: ribosomal RNA, 375 nt
Filed under: uncultured organism
Description: partial 16S ribosomal RNA
Rfam family: Bacterial small subunit ribosomal RNA
Source: RNAcentral